UGAAAUUUAUGUACAUAUAAUUGUAUUUAUAUACUACCAAACAAAUAAAACGAAUAAAUUUUAAAGUAUACAGUUAUACCUUAAAUUCGUUUCUUUACCUAACCUUUUACCCAUGUAUAAGAAAAUAUAUAAUAAGAAAUAAUCAAAAUUGAAAUAAAAAAAUGAAAAAUACAAUAUUACAACAAUAUUUACUACCAUUGAGUAUAUACUACCGAUUGAUUGUUUAGAAUGAAACUCUGAAACAAACCAUCGAAGAAGAAAGAGAAAAAUGUACUGAUGCUUCCGACUCUACCGCCAAUUUAACAAGAAACCGUCAGAGCAUGUUUUGCUGCAGCUAAAUUAAACAAUUGCAAACAAAGAAGAUAUACUAUUGGGUACUUUACUGCUCGAUGAAGUAGCUUUAAGCGACGCUAUAAAAUUAAAUCAACGAACAAUGCAGCUUCAUGGUUUCAAUUUAUGUGGGAAAUAAAGGCCUGGUGUUAAUUGAUUGUAAUUCCUUUAAACAAAAAAAU
Molecule: long non-coding RNA, 512 nt
Organism: Polistes canadensis
Lineage: Eukaryota; Metazoa; Arthropoda; Insecta; Hymenoptera; Vespidae
Exons: 2
Source: RefSeq, a predicted model, not a curated record